UGGACAGCGACCCCCAUCAAUUUCUACAGAAUUGGAGGAGAGGAGGAGAGGCGAGGAGGAGGAGAGGCGAGGAGGCGAGUAGGAGGCGGAGGAGAGGAGGAGGCGGCGGAGGAGAGGCGAGGAGGAGGAGAGGCGAGGAGGAGGAGGCGGUAAGGAAAAGAAGAAAAGAAGAGGCGACACCAUGAGGAAGAGAAAGAGAGAACUGACAACCCUUGAUGAGGAGGAGUGACGAAGGACUCAUCCAGCUAUUUCUAGGCAGGGACAGCUGCUAUAAGAUCGCUGACAAGGUAGUAUAUAAAGGGAAAGAAUAGAUGUUGUACAGAUAGUAGGAAAUACAGGGAUAUACUGGAGACAUACAGGUACUGUAUAAUAGAAUGUAUUUAGAUAAGAAAUGUAUUACCAGCCUCUAACUCUUCUCAUCCCUCUAGUAUCUCCUGACCAUGGUCCUCAUCUACUUCCGAAGAGCCAACCUGCAUACGGAGGAAUAUAACAUCUACUUCUUUCC
RNA transcript from Hyla sarda, 505 nucleotides. It is a transcript of the gene named speedy protein 1-B-like, with no coding region annotated. NCBI's taxonomy places the organism in Eukaryota, Metazoa, Chordata, Amphibia, Anura, Hylidae. The transcript has 2 exons. The record is from RefSeq and is a predicted model, not a curated record.